Molecule: transfer RNA, 62 nt
Filed under: Echinococcus granulosus
Lineage: Eukaryota; Metazoa; Platyhelminthes; Cestoda; Cyclophyllidea; Taeniidae
Description: tRNA-Lys
Source: RNAcentral
AUCCAUAUAUCUAUAUUAAGAGCUGAGUUCUUACCUCAGUAAUGUGGUUUUCACUGUGGGUU